AUGGCUACAACUUCCAGGCCGCUGGCUGUGGAGCGAGGCGCCGCCGCGGAGGCAUGGACACCCGAAGGCGAGGACGAACGGCCGCCCAGUCUGCCUCCCCAGAGCCCGCUCUGCGCGCUGGGGCCCUCCCCGCCCUCGCCUCUCGCAGCGCCCCGCUCGCUCGCCCCGCGCUCGGGCCGCCCGCCUGACGAGCGACCGGGGCUCUCGUGUGACGUUCCUGCUGGCGACCGGGAAGUUUUCCACAGGCCACAACUUUUGCAAAGAGGGGACCUGGGAAAAACACCCGCGCCGCUUAUACCCUCAAAGCUGAACUUGGCAGGACACUCAAGGCGACCUGUCAAGCCCACCCGAGGGGAAGAAGCUGUGCUGUCCCGCCCUUUUCUCCUCAGGCCACCCUGGUCGCCAAGGAGUCCCGGGCCGGGCCGGGGGUGCCGAAAGCCCCAGCGCUGCUGGUGAUUUAUCGCUCCGGGCUCUGCCAAGCCGGCGCGGGCUCUCGCAAGCCUGACAGACCAGGAACUACUUGAAAAAAGUAAGGCACGGUCGAGGAAGCCUGGUUUUUGUGGUUCCACAAACCACAAAUCAAACGAGAGAGGCCCCCGAAGCGGGAAGAAAAGUCAGUACAAACUUGUUCCUGUCACCUUUGGAAAGAAAAAGUUCCUCACCAGGCGCGGGGCGUACUUUGUCCUGGGCAGGGACGCGCUUGCCGGGGAUUGGGUGACCCCCAUCCCUCCUUGGCCGCUCACCUCCUGCGGAGGAAGGUCUGUCAGCCGCCUGCCUCCUCCUGGCUCAGGGCACAGGACUUAUCCUGCCCCGGCGCUGCGGACCCCAGGAUUGCCUCCCACGAGCGCGCGGGCGGGGAAGAGGAAGAGGCAGACUGGGCGCCGCGGGGUCCUCACCGCCCUGGGGCAUUAGGAGCGCUGAACCGCGAUGGAGGCCUCGAGGCCCGGGCUUGCGAGACCGCACUGCUGAGUGGCCGCCGGAGCUCGGCCUACUGCUCUCCCUCACCAGCCUCCUGGUGGACACGGUCUCCACUCUCCAGCCCGCCAGCCGUGGGGGAGUCCCGAACCAGCUCGCACCCAGCCUCUUUGCCCGUCUUCCUCGCGGGAGCCGCACGGCGACGAAGACUGACGGAAGAGGACGGACAGGGUGACCCAUCUCCCGAUGCGGCGCCAGAGGUUAGCCUAACUCCAACGGACUCAGAGUCUGGGCUGUAUAAGGAUGCCCUCCGCACUUCCAUCAGGGGUCGGGACGAGAUGUCUCCAGACCCACCUUCUCUCACGCCCAGGGCGCUCCUGCAGAAUGGGAACAUCGUACUGAAGACCGGUGGGCUGCAUGCGACCCAAAUACAAUGGGUCCCUUGCUCGACCCGCUCUCGCACGCCCCCUUUUCCCCCAACGAGUUGUCCCCUCUAGAAUGUGAUCGGUGACCACAGUUUGGCCAACCCGAUCUGGCUUCUGAAGAUGAGGUCGGCUAUUCUGGGAGCUGAGAAGGGCAGAGAGCUUAGUGGUUUCAUCCGAGAUCUGGCAGAUCUGCUCCUUCCCACGCUUCCGUCCAGGGGUCGAGUCCUAGAGAAGGGUGGGCCUCGAGGGAGCCCUUUCCCGGAUGCAAGUCGAAGCCUAGCUGCUUGGCACACACUCGGGCUGGCACAUGCCCGCACCCUCGAAGCGAUCUGGUAUCUUAGCGCUUGUUUCCUCUCCUGCUCCUUUGAGCUCUUCGAAGCCGCGUUUCCCAGGGAGGCGGACAGGGCCGGGCUAAGCAGGACAGAAGGCAGCGCUUUUUGUUGAAUCUCAUAGCUACUUUACCAAAAAGGCCAGAAGAGCCAUUUUACAUCUCCGUAGUCACAGGAAUUAGCUUUUUUCUCUAAGAUGCCCCCAUUAGCCAAUUAAACCACCAUUGGUGGGCAGUAGGGUGAAAGAUAGUGGCUUGGUGGUUAAGAGCUCGGAGUCUGAGCUCUCUGAAGACAGAUUUUUCCCGCCCUGCCACUUUCUAGUUGGUGACCUUGGCGAGCAAGGUACUCAGCCUCUGUGUACCUCAGUUUGUUAUUUGUAAAAUGGGACUUACAAUAGUGCCCCUAGUAGAGUGGCUGAAGGUUUAAGAGUUAAUAUAUGCAAAGUCUUUAGGACUGUGCUGAGCGUACAGUAGGACCUCUCGAGUGGUCGCAGUCGGCUGCUCUAGGACUCAUCUCCGUUUGUGAAAACCCGCCCAGAUUCCGGUCCUCCCAGGCCGCAACUGAAGUUUAGAGACUUUGCCGAAUAGCUGUUUAGUCUCCCCCAACCCCCUGGCCCUCGGAGCUCCUGAAAAAAAGUUCUUAAUGAAGUAAUGUUGAGAGCGUCCAUUAAAAAUGCAGUGCUGGGAG
This is an RNA transcript of Sapajus apella (tufted capuchin), 2356 nucleotides long. It is a transcript of the gene named translation initiation factor IF-2-like, with no coding region annotated. The transcript is spliced from 2 exons. The record is from RefSeq and is a predicted model, not a curated record. Lineage: Eukaryota; Metazoa; Chordata; Mammalia; Primates; Cebidae.